Molecule: ribosomal RNA, 492 nt
Filed under: uncultured bacterium
Lineage: Bacteria
Description: partial 16S ribosomal RNA
Rfam family: Bacterial small subunit ribosomal RNA
Source: RNAcentral
AGUGAACGCUGGCGGUAGGCCUAACACAUGCAAGUCGAACGGCAGCACAGUAAGAGCUUGCUCUUACGGGUGGCGAGUGGCGGGCGGGUGAGGAAUACAUCGGACUCUACUUUUUCGUGGGGGAUAACGUAGGGAAACUUACGCUAAUACCGCAUACGACCUACGGGAGAAAGCAGGGGAUCUUCGGACCUUGCGCGAUUGAAUGAGCCGAUGUCGGAUUAGCUAGUUGGCGGGGUAAAGGCACACCAAGGCGACGAUCCGUAGCUGGUCUGAGAGGAUGAUCAGCCACACUGGAACUGAGACACGGUCCAGACUCCUACGGGAGGCAGCAGUGGGGAAUAUUGGACAAUGGGCGCAAGCCUGAUCCAGCCAUGCCGCGUGGAUGAAGAAGGCCUUCGGGUUGUAAAGCCCUUUUGUUGGGAAAGAAAAGCAGCAGGUUAAUACCCCGCUGUUCUGACGUUACCCAAAGAAUAAGCACCGGCUAACUUCGUG